UGAGUACGAGAUGCUACGGCAUCGAAGCAGUCUAUGUCAUACUUCCAAGAAAAGCUUGCAAUGUCAUAAACAAAUAAUGCCUGUACCAUAACCGACACAGGUGGGUAGGUAGAGUAUACUAAGGGGCGCGAGAUAACUCUCUCUAAGGAACUCGGCAAAAUGACUCCGUAACUUCGGGAGAAGGAGUGCCUUAUUUUUAUAAGGUUGCAAUAACAAGAUCCAAGCAACUGUUUACCAAAAACACAGGUCUCCGCUAAGUCGUAAGACGAUGUAUGGGGGCUGACGCCUGCCCAGUGCCAGAAGGUUAAAGAAGUUGGUUAGCAUUAGCGAAGCUGAUAACUGAAGCCCUGGUGAACGGCGGCCGUAACGAUAACGGUCCUAAGGUAGCGAAAUUCCUUGUCGGGUAAGUUCCGACCCGCACGAAAGGCGUAAUGAUUUGGAUACUGUCUCGGAGAGGGGCUCGGUGAAAUAGACUUGUCUGUGAAGAUGCGGACUACCUGCACCUGGACAGAAAGACCCUAUGAAGCUUUACUGUAACUUGAGAUUGAAAUUGGACUUUAUCUGCGCAGUAUAGGUGGGAGACGUUGAAAAUAUUCUUGCGGGAAUAUUGGAGUCAUCAGUGAGAUACCACUCUUAUAAUGUUAGAUUUCUAACUUUGUAUCAUUAUCUGGUCAAAGAACAGUUUCAGGCGGGCAGUUUGACUGGGGCGGUCGCCUCCCAAACGGUAACGGAGGCGCACAAAGGUUUCCUCUGAACGUGUAGAAAUCGUAUCUAGAGUGUAAAGGCAUAAGGAAGCUUGACUGUGAGACCUACAAGUCGAGCAGGGACGAAAGUCGGUCUUAGUGAUCUGACGGUGCUGAGUGGAAAGGCCGUCACUCAACGGAUAAAAGUUACUCUAGGAUAACAGGCUGAUCUCCCCCAAGAGUUCACAUCGACGGGGAGGUUUGGCACCUCGAUGUCGGCUCAUCGCAUCCUGGGGCGGUAGUACGUCCCAAGGGUUGGGCUGUUCGCCCAUGAAAGCGGUACGCGAGCUGGGUUCAGAACGUCGUGAGACAGUUCGGUCCAUAUCCGGUGUAGGCGUUGGAAUAUUGAGAGGAGCCUUCUUUAGUACGAGAGGACCGAGAAGGACAUACCUCUGGUGUACCAGUUAUCGUGCCAACGGUAAACGCUGGGUAGCCAUGUAUGGAGAGGAUAACCGCUGAAAGCAUCUAAGUGGGAAGCCCACCUCAAGAUAAG
This 1236-nucleotide ribosomal RNA is filed under the name metagenome. Its description in RNAcentral is "bacterial LSU rRNA". It matches the Rfam family "Bacterial large subunit ribosomal RNA", at positions 1564 to 2808 of the family's 2925-position model. The record is from RNAcentral.